UACGUAGGCAGCGAGCGUUGUUCGGAGUUACUGGGCGUAAAGGGUGUGUAGGCGGUUGUUUAAGUUUGGUGUGAAAUCUCCCGGCUCAACUGGGAGGGUGCGCCGAAUACUGAGCGACUAGAGUGCGGGAGAGGAAAGUGGAAUUCCUGGUGUAGCGGUGAAAUGCGUAGAUAUCAGGAGGAAUACCGGUGGCGAAGGCGGCAUCCUGGACCGGCAUUGACGCUGAGGAGCGAAAGCUAGGGGAGCAAACGGG
RNAcentral lists this ribosomal RNA (253 nucleotides) under uncultured bacterium. RNAcentral describes it as "partial 16S ribosomal RNA". It matches the Rfam family "Bacterial small subunit ribosomal RNA", at positions 524 to 776 of the family's 1533-position model. The record is from RNAcentral.